This is an RNA transcript of Cyanidioschyzon merolae strain 10D, 2729 nucleotides long. RefSeq lists it as hypothetical. The transcript has a single exon. NCBI's taxonomy places the organism in Eukaryota, Rhodophyta, Bangiophyceae, Cyanidiales, Cyanidiaceae. The record is from RefSeq and is a predicted model, not a curated record.
UUAUUGGCGUGCUCGUGAGCGCAUGCCAAAAGCCCGCUCAACCUGUCACGUCAAGUUAUCGAGGCCGUCCAAAAUUCAUCGCCGCCUCGGUUUGUGGUCAUCGACGGCAUGGCGUGCAGCAACCGCUUGAUAACGGUUGCGGGAAACGAUCCCCAGAGGCUCCCUUGACUUCUGACUGCAGCGGAGAACGCGUAUUGGACGCACACUCGAGUCGCCGCAGCGCUCGCUUCGAGUGCAGCGCGCGUCACCGCUUUGCGAGACGAAAGCGCAUUCCGUCCGAGAGUUCUCGGCUUGAUCUCCAGCCCGGGGACUUCCCUCUGGCUCUUGCUCCAUCGAAGCGAGCAACGCCUCUCGCAAGCUCCCUAUCGAACCUGUGAGCAAACGCGUGCGACAGCAGCGGGCAGAGUGAGUACUCGCCGAGUGGAUCACCCGCACGGAGCCUGUGAUCGCUGGGUACACCACCAGCCCCGGUAGCAGAGGAGCGCAUCGACGGGAGCCUUCCUGUAUCGGUCCAUGGCAUGCGCUGAGCAAUGGGGCAAGCGCUCGUGAACCAGAGCGUCGCCCGUCGGACAAGACGGGGGCCUCGACGGACAUAGCUGCACCUCUGACAGCAGCCCCAAAUCAGAGUUGCAUUGAGCGCACCGGGGCUGUCUCCAGGAAGCAAUGGAAACUGCGAGCGAAGCGCGAAUCACAGCAUUCGCUCGCUCAUGGUCUGCUCCGAUAGCAGCCGGAGGCAUCGAAAUCGGGACUCGCACGCACUGCCAUCAGCAUCCUUCGACUGCUGAAGAGAGGCAUGGUGGGAAAUGAGCGACCGGCGUAUUUGAACCUGGAGAUAAGCGAGAGGCGAAGGAAGCACUCGGAGAUAGAGCCAGCCACGUCCUAUGCUGCCUACUGUGGGAACAGACCAAACCUUUGUCGUGCAUGAACGAGUCAGAGGAUUCGUCCCAAUUCAAUCUGGUACGCAUGCAAACGUUCCGCAAACUCGACGCGACAUGCCUCGAUUCCGUCCCGCGCUCAACGCCGCCUACUAGGCGCGUCAUUCGACCAUGCCGUCCAGAGCGCAAUCCUGUGGCCAGCGCGAGCGUUCUAGAUAUAUUCACUGAGGGUGUCGGUCCGCGCCACUCGUAAACGCCGUUGCGACCCUUGUCCUGGCAGUAUCUCAGCGUUUUGCUGCAAAUACGAACAGCUUGAGACUUUCGACGCCGGAGCAGAACGAACUAGGCGUCCAACAAAGUCGAUCGGUGGUGCCCAGAUCACGGCGAGUUCAGCGCUGCAACAGCUUGCCCGCAAACCAUGCUCGGCGGUUUCGGUGACUUUUUCUUGCUUGUGGGUGUGACCCUAGGAUCCAUCCUGCUUAACCUCUUCUUUCUCAUUCUGUCCCCGGUGAUUGUGCUGUACGUAAAAUACGGGGGCGUUGGGAACCGUCUGAAGCGGCAGAUGCCACUACCACGGGUUCCGCGGUGCGUUUUCAUCACCGGCGCGUCAUCCGGUGUUGGCGAGGCGCUCGCCUACGAGUAUUGCAAGCGAGCGCGCAAGCAACAGGUUCAGGACCUUGUGCUUUAUCUGACUGGUCGAAAUGCGACACGGCUCGACCAGGUGUGUGAACGGUGUCGGGAACUCGGGGCGAGUAAAGUGCAUGCCCUAGUCGUGGACGUUGCCGACGAGGCAGCGAUGCGUGAGGCGAUCACCAAAGCCGACCAAGAACGCCCACUUGAUCUCGUCAUCGCAAACGCCGGUGUAUCCGUGACGAAUACAGGACUCAUGGAGGAAAGCAAGUCAGGCGCUACUGGCUAUGAGAGGUCCAAGAAGCUACUUGACGUGAACAUAUACGGUGCCCUGUACACGAUCUGGCCGGCGCUGGACUGCAUGAUCGCACGUCAGCGCGGAGGCCAAAUCGCGAUUAACGCAAGCAUUGCGUCGUACAUUGCGGGUCCGCUGAAUAUGUCAUACUCUGCGAGCAAAGCCGCAGUUCGAUUCUACGGAGAGUCAUUGCGCACCGCGAUGGCACCAUUGGGCAUCCGAGUGAAUACGAUCCUGCUGGGAUUCGUUGAGUCGCGGAUGACGGAGCCGUUGAAGAAUAGACAUGGCCGUUUGCCCUUCGCCAAAAGCGCUGAAGAAGCGGCUACAUCGCUUGCGAAUCAAAUAGAGCGUGAUGUGGGCGUCAUCGAAUACCCUGCAUGGCCAUUCGGUGUGCUCGGUGAAUGGCUGAAUGCCGCCCCGCCCCUCGUCCGAGAAUGGAUAUGGAGUAUGGUGAUGGGCCGUAUGGUGACGCGCGCGGAACGGAAAUUGAGAAAGCGUCAAGCAGCAGAUGUGAACAUCGCCGACAGCGGAACCUCGACCAAGUACGCGAUCUUGACACGCCUUGUGGAGAAGCUUAUCUAAAUGCACAGAUCAGCAUCCUUGACGUGAGCAGGUCGAGCGACAACAGCGUUUCCGGGAAAGACGUCCACGGCGAUGCGCGAAUUCGGCACUGCGCGACCCGGCGGUGAUCGCUGCCGGACACGUGUCCACGUAUCCGUGGCUUGCGUGCGCGCGAUGCGUGCAUCGGGAGCGCUUCCCGUAUUGUUCGCGACAAGUUUUUCGACAUUGCCAUGCGCAUGGAUACAUGCAUCAUUGCAACUGCGCAUGCCUUCCAUGGAGCGGUUACGAGGCGGGACUUGAUGGACGUCAGAUCAUAGACUACGGUUGCGAGGCUGGAUCGUGGCGAGAGCGCAAGCGCUUGUAAGCGU